RNAcentral lists this long non-coding RNA (875 nucleotides) under Marmota monax (woodchuck). Lineage: Eukaryota; Metazoa; Chordata; Mammalia; Rodentia; Sciuridae. The record is from RNAcentral.
GCUGAAGAGCUACUGUUUGAAGAUAAGGAUUGCUGAUAGACAGCCCCUUCCCACCCUGUUUUUUUUACUGAGACUAGCUGCCUUAAUUGUAAGUGUACCUGAUGAGCUGAAUUUCCCCAUCUUGCCCCCUUUCUGCCUGCUUUUCUAAUCCUUACAAACAUUGAUUACACUUACUUAGAUUAAAUUAUGGCUCAUAAUUAGAUAUAAAAGGUAUUCAUUUCUAGAUAUGGACAAAUUUUCCCAAGAAAUCAAGUAACCUGUAACAUAUUUUGGCUUGAGACAUUUGUGAAAUUUUAGAGCCAAAGGAAACUUUAGUGUUAUCUAGUCCAAAUGUACAAUUUUAUGCAUGAGGAAGUUCAUCCAGAAGGUCAUGGGCCUAUAAUCCUUACUCUAGGUCCAAUUUGCCAGACAAACUCUUUGUACAAAAACAAGCUGUUUCCAACAUUGGAACAGGUGCUUACAACCCUUUAGUGAUAUUCUGCAAUUUUUUAGAUGAUGAAUAAAAUUAUUAACACAAUUUGAUGUCCCUGCAUCCUUUUUGCCCCGGGUGUGGUACACCAGUCCUAUUCAAAUCCACUAUCUUUGAAUAUCCUUGUUGUUCAUUUAUAAAUGUAGUGCUGACCUCUUCAGUUUGGGGACAUACUGUAUUCCUUCCUACCAAGAAAACUUUUUUGCUUAAAUGUUCCUGUAAUGCCCUGGAAUUAUGCCUCUCCCCAUCAUCUCCCAUUAAGUUCUUCUUUAGAAAUAAGCUCAAACAUCUUUCCCAUUAAUUAUAUGAUUGCUUAGUUAUUUGUUAUCACUCACAUAUUCUAUAUACUUCAGUAGCACAGAUCACAAUUGUUAUGAAAUACAUGUGUAAUUUAUUUAUUUGUCUC